GAUGAACGCUGGCGGCGUGCUUAACACAUGCAAGUCGAACGGAAAGGCCCAAGCUUGCUUGGGUGCUCGAGUGGCGAACGGGUGAGUAACACGUGGGUGAUCUGCCCUGCACUUUGGGAUAAGCCUGGGAAACUGGGUCUAAUACCGGAUAGGACCAUCGUUUAGUGUCGGUGGUGGAAAGUUUUUCGGUGUGGGAUGAGCUCGCGGCCUAUCAGCUUGUCGGUGGGGUAAUGGCCUACCAAGGCGUCGACGGGUAGCCGGCCUGAGGGGGUGUACGGCCCACAUGGGGCAGGAGAGAGGGCCAGAACUCCUACGGGGGGAGGAGGGGGGAAAUUUGGCAAAAGGGGCGAAGGCUGGAGGAGGCGCCGCCGGGGGGGGGAGGAGGGCUUGGGGUUGUAAACCCCCUUCCCCAAGGGAGGAAGGGUUUUGGGAGGUUCUUGGGAGAAGAACCCCGGCCUAACUCCUU
RNAcentral lists this ribosomal RNA (466 nucleotides) under uncultured bacterium. RNAcentral's name for it is "partial 16S ribosomal RNA". It matches the Rfam family "Bacterial small subunit ribosomal RNA", at positions 28 to 506 of the family's 1533-position model. The record is from RNAcentral.